Molecule: ribosomal RNA, 394 nt
Filed under: uncultured bacterium
Lineage: Bacteria
Description: partial 16S ribosomal RNA
Rfam family: Bacterial small subunit ribosomal RNA
Source: RNAcentral
AUACGUAGGGAGCGAGCGUUAUCCGGAAUUACUGGGCGUAAAGGGCGCGUCGGCUGCGCUUCAAGUCGUCUGUCAACCAAUAAGGCUCAACCUUAUUUUGCAGACGAAACUGUGGCGCUAGAGAAGCAGAGAGGCAAACAGAAUUCCUGGUGUAGCGGUGAAAUGCGUAGAUAUCAGGAAGAAUACCAGUGGCGAAGGCGGUUUGCUGUCCGCCAGCAGAUGCUCAAGCCCGAGAGCCAGCGCAGCAUUCGGGAUUAGAUCCCCCGGGAGCAGGUGGAGCAAACGACUUAAACUGCGGGUUGAACUAGCGAUCUCCGCGUGCCGAAGGUAACGUAAUAAGGAGUCCCCCUUGGGAGUACGGUCUUAAGAUUGAGGCUGAAAUGAAUGGACGUAC